AGAUUUCUCUUGGCCAGUGCAGGGCCAGACACGGGCUAAGGUCCUCCUUGCUCAGAUAAUCCAAAUUCCCUUUGAAUGACUUACUACCGCAGGAGCAAUAAAUCAUUUUCCAGUGCUAUCUGCAGACAGCCAAGGGGUAACAGAGUGUAGACACAGAAUCCCAUCAGAAAAUCUCCGAGUUGUGUUGAGUCUCCUCUGUGACAAACUAAGCAAAAGCUGCAGCGUCAGCGUUUAGAGGAAACGCCCUGCUCCAUCCCACAAAGGAAGCAGCCCGGCCGUCAGCAUCCUGCUCCGGCAUGCUGGACGCACAGGCCCAGACACCCUGCCUCACCGGAACCUUCCACUCCCAGCUACCCGGAGGAGACCGAGGCUCAGAGAAGUAAUUUGCCCGUGAGCCCUGAAAGCGGCGAAGACGAGACGCAAGGUUGCCCGGAUUUGGCGUGCUGCCCGUCACCGCGGGGAUAUCUGGAGCCUCGUCCGCACUCCGCUGAGCUAGAGUCUGCUGAGCUGGUGCCAUUUUCCCCAGCGAGCUACGCGUGUGGAACUUGCUGGUCUUCUCCGACCACUGUUAGAAGAACAUUAACAGCAAAUCAUGGAAUGUUAAGGAUUUAAAGAACUCUUCAGAGGCCCUCUAGUUGCGCCCUUUUGUUUGAAGCACCAUCUAUGAGCCCAGGGCCUUCUGUUUAUCUUUGAUUUCUCCCAAGUAAAACCAGGGGGCAGAUGUGUGCAGCUCAGCAAGAAUCCUGCUUUGGGGAAAUACUUAUGUCUCCAGAGUUGGGACUGGCUUUGCGUAAAACGACGUGGGGUGGAGAGGGGCUCUCUGAUGAGCAAGGUGGAAGGGCAUCUCCCAAAGGCACACUGAGCCAUCUUUAAGCUGGGGGUGCUGCUGGGGGGCUAUAAAACAAAGCAGAUCUACAUAUUAUUCCAGACUCAGCUCUGUCCUUUUGAGGAAGCCAGCACUAAGAGCUAGUGUAACCCUUCCCUGGCAAUCUCCUACAGCUGGGGAGCAAGACCCCAUGGCCCCUGCCAGGCCUACAGAGGACAGGCACAGGGCGCCGACGGCUCUGGGGAGCUACUGCUGCAGUCAUGGCCCGGGCGGGCACCAGUAGCAUCCAAAGAGAAGCAAGGCCAAAAUUUUAGGUCAAUUCUGUCAAAAGAGAGGAAGAUUUAUUUAUUUAUUUAUUUUAGAAUUUACUCAGGAUUAUCAGAAACGAGAAAAAAAAACUCCAUUAUUUAAAAUCGAGCAGGAGUGAAAAUCCAGGAAGUGGACUACUUGCCUAAGCCUCCUAUGAAAACGAGCCUCAUCCACUGACGUCGCAAUCCAACCUCCUCACUCCUGCUCCCCGGGCAGAGCAAUGCUUUGUCCCACUCCACCAGCUGCCCCACAGGCACUGCCCCAUUAAGCCCUGGGACCGGUAACUCCCAACUUAAGAGAAGCUGAAAAGGCCUAUUCUGCACUGUUUUACACUAAAUCUUUUUUCCAAGAAACUUCACUAUAUAAAACAUUCUAAACUUGGGAACACUAACUUUUGCAUUAUUUCCUGCCCGGCAACAGAGCUCAGAGCAUGAUGCUCUCCUCUUGCCAGAUUUGGGCUGGCUGGAAGAAAAUACCCGUUCCUCUUUGAGCUUCUUUCCAUCACUUGUAGAGACAAACUGCCCAGCUACCAAAAUGAAAUGUUUCCCAGGUUUUCCUCCCACACCUAUGACCUUUGUUCCUUGAUUAAAUCCUGGAUUCCCCUCUAAACAGAACUGGACUGUGUCCAGCCUAUUUCUUCAUGUUCUUCAAACAUUAGCCCAGCAGAUGUCGGGUUUGUGUGGGUUUUUUUUUUCCUCCCCCAAGAGGUUUUUGUUUGGCUUUUGAGUUGGCUCCCGGGACUCUGAGUGGAAAGUCUGCAGCAAGUACCCCAUCCCGCCCUGCCACCCCCAGCAGGGCAGGA
This is a non-coding RNA of Microcebus murinus (gray mouse lemur), 1937 nucleotides long. The record is from RefSeq and is a predicted model, not a curated record. Lineage: Eukaryota; Metazoa; Chordata; Mammalia; Primates; Cheirogaleidae.